AGCGAACGCUGGCGGCAGGCCUAACACAUGCAAGUCGAACGAACUCUUCGGAGUUAGUGGCGGACGGGUGAGUAACACGUGGGAACGUGCCUUUUGGUUCGGAAUAACUCAGGGAAACUUGUGCUAAUACCGAAUGUGCCCUUCGGGGGAAAGAUUUAUCGCCAUUAGAGCGGCCCGCGUCUGAUUAGCUAGUUGGUGAGGUAACGGCUCACCAAGGCUACGAUCAGUAGCUGGUCUGAGAGGAUGACCAGCCACACUGGGACUGAGACACGGCCCAGAAUCCUGCGCGAGGCAGCAGUGGGGAAUCUUGCGCAAUGGGCGAAAGCCUGACGCAGCCAGGCCGCGUGAAUGAUGAAGGUCUUAGGAUUGUAAAAUUCUUUCACCGGGGACGAUAAUGACGGUACCCGGAGAAGAAGCCCCGGCUAACUUCGUG
This 433-nucleotide ribosomal RNA is filed under the name uncultured bacterium. RNAcentral describes it as "partial 16S ribosomal RNA". It matches the Rfam family "Bacterial small subunit ribosomal RNA", at positions 29 to 507 of the family's 1533-position model. The record is from RNAcentral.